UAAAGGCAAAAACAGCAACCUCAUAAGUUGUAAGAUGUGGGUUCGAGUCCCACUG
This 55-nucleotide transfer RNA is filed under the name uncultured Tubulinea. RNAcentral's name for it is "partial tRNA". It matches the Rfam family "tRNA", at positions 13 to 65 of the family's 71-position model. Rfam says of the family: Transfer RNA (tRNA) molecules are approximately 80 nucleotides in length. Their secondary structure includes four short double-helical elements and three loops (D, anti-codon, and T loops). Further hydrogen bonds mediate the characteristic L-shaped molecular structure. tRNAs have two regions of fundamental functional importance: the anti-codon, which is responsible for specific mRNA codon recognition, and the 3' end, to which the tRNAs corresponding amino acid is attached (by aminoacyl-tRNA synthetases). tRNAs cope with the degeneracy of the genetic code in two manners: having more than one tRNA (with a specific anti-codon) for a particular amino acid; and 'wobble' base-pairing, i.e. permitting non-standard base-pairing at the 3rd anti-codon position. Lineage: Eukaryota; Tubulinea. The record is from RNAcentral.